RNAcentral lists this ribosomal RNA (140 nucleotides) under uncultured bacterium. RNAcentral describes it as "partial 16S rRNA". It matches the Rfam family "Bacterial small subunit ribosomal RNA", at positions 355 to 507 of the family's 1533-position model. The record is from RNAcentral.
UGAGGAAUAUUGGCAAUGGGCGAAAGCCUGACGCAGCAACGCCGCGUGCGGAAUGACGGCCUUCGGGUUGUAAACCGCUUUCAGCAGGGACGAAGCAACUCGUGACGGUACCUGCAGAAGAAGCACCUGCCAGAUACGUG